UGGGGAAUAUUGCACAAUGGGCGCAAGCCUGAUGCAGCCAUGCCGCGUGUAUGAAGAAGGCCUUCGGGUUGUAAAGUACUUUCAGCGAGGAGGAAGGCGUUGUGGUUAAUAACCGCAACGAUUGACGUUACUCGCAGAAGAAGCACCGGCUAACUCCGUGCCAGCAGCCGCGGUAAUACGGAGGGUGCAAGCGGUAAUCGGAAUUACUGGGCGUAAAGCGCACGCAGGCGGUCUGUCAAGUCGGAUGUGAAAUCCCCGGGCUCAACCUGGGAACUGCAUCCGAAACUGGCAGGCUAGAGUCUUGUAGAGGGGGGUAGAAUUCCAGGUGUAGCGGUGAAAUGCGUAGAGAUCUGGAGGAAUACCGGUGGCGAAGGCGGCCCCCUGGACAAAGACUAACGCUCAGGUGCGAAAGCGUGGGGAGCAAACA
RNAcentral lists this ribosomal RNA (427 nucleotides) under uncultured bacterium. RNAcentral describes it as "partial 16S ribosomal RNA". It matches the Rfam family "Bacterial small subunit ribosomal RNA", at positions 355 to 774 of the family's 1533-position model. The record is from RNAcentral.